Molecule: microRNA precursor, 89 nt
Filed under: Cajanus cajan (pigeon pea)
Lineage: Eukaryota; Viridiplantae; Streptophyta; Magnoliopsida; Fabales; Fabaceae
Description: miRNA gene-KK1_047570
Source: RNAcentral
UAAAAUAACCGAUCUUAAAAGUGCAACUUUUAAAACCGGUUAUUUUAUAACCGAUCUUAAAAGUGGCACUUUUAAGAUCGGUUCUUUUA